ACUCCUACGGGAGGCAGCAGUGAGGAAUAUUGGUCAAUGGAGGGAACUCUGAACCAGCCAUCCCGCGUGUAGGAAGACGGCCUUAUGGGUUGUAAACUACUUUUAUACAGGAAGAAACGUACCCUCGUGAGGGUGCCUGACGGUACUGUAGGAAUAAGCACCGGCUAACUCCGUGCCAGCAGCCGCGGUAAUACGGAGGGUGCGAGCGUUAAUCGGAAUUACUGGGCGUAAAGCGCAUGCAGGUGGUUUGUUAAGUCAGAUGUGAAAGCCCGGGGCUUAACCUCGGAAUUGCAUUUGAAACUGGCAGACUAGAGUACUGUAGAGGGGG
This 328-nucleotide ribosomal RNA is filed under the name uncultured bacterium. RNAcentral's name for it is "bacterial SSU rRNA". It matches the Rfam family "Bacterial small subunit ribosomal RNA", at positions 335 to 660 of the family's 1533-position model. The record is from RNAcentral.